Molecule: ribosomal RNA, 468 nt
Filed under: uncultured bacterium
Lineage: Bacteria
Description: partial 16S ribosomal RNA
Rfam family: Bacterial small subunit ribosomal RNA
Source: RNAcentral
GACGAACGCUGGCGGCGUGCUUAACACAUGCAAGUCGAACGGAAAGGCCCCAGCUUGCUGGAGUGCUCGAGUGGCGAACGGGUGAGUAACACGUGGGUGAUCUGCCCUUCACUUCGGGAUAAGCCUGGGAAACUGGGGCUAAUACCGGAUAGGAGCGCCCGUUGCUUUGUGUGGGUUGGAGAGUUUUCUGGGGUGGGAUUAGAUCGCGGGCUAUCCGUUUGUUGGGGGGGUGAUGGCCUUCCAAGACGGUGAAGGGGAGGCGGCCUGGGGGGGUGGACCGGCACAAUGGGAACGAGGUGAGGCCCCGACUGCUAAGGGAGGCAGCAGUGGGGAAUAUUGCAAAAUGGGGGAAACCCUGAUGGAGGGAAGCCGCGUGGCGGAUGAAGGCCUUCGGGUUGGAAAACCCUUUUGCCAGGGACGAAGCCUUUUGUGACGGUACCUGGUGAAGAAGCACCGGCUAACUACGUG